RNAcentral lists this long non-coding RNA (1522 nucleotides) under Citrus maxima (pomelo). RNAcentral's name for it is "long non-coding RNA (CMAX_LNC000732)". Lineage: Eukaryota; Viridiplantae; Streptophyta; Magnoliopsida; Sapindales; Rutaceae. The record is from RNAcentral.
AGACAGAAAAUGACAUAAAUCUUAAACAACGAGACUAAACACUAGAUAAGAUCAGAUUUGUAUUGCCCUCACGUAUGGUAAAAUAAUAAAAAUUAAUGUUGUAACGGGGAGACAAUUUGUUCUUCAUUUUUGCAGUACUGAGUUAAACAAAGGAAACCUGUGGUAACUUGCUUCCAUCAAGACUCUAGCUUCUUAUUUGGCUCUUCAAACUUAUCUGUUGAAGUCCGAUGUUCAACCAUGCCUCCAGCAGCUCUCGCGGUGUAGAAAUACACGAUAAAAUGAAAUGAUGUCCUGCCACCAGCUAGCAGCCACGAGAUUGUUGGUCUUAGGAGCAAGACUGCUAACUAUAUCCUAAAUGCUGAGGCAUAUCACUGGAGAUAACUCAAUGCCAGAAAAGAGCAAGUCCAAUGAAGUUUUUGUUACAACAAUGCUGUGGCAGUUGUAUACUUAUUGAAGUUCCUAAAGAUCGGAUAUUAAUCAGAUCCAAAAGGAGAAGGAGGAGACAAGAUAAAUUUGCUGAUUAUGUAAUCGUUCAAAAAAUAUUAAAUUGAAACAUGAAACAUACAUAUAUUCAUGACAUGCCUGCAGUUUUGGAAGAUCCACCUAAGAAAAUGAUCAGAUCGAGUUCCUCAAAGCAGGGCUGAAACUCCUGGUUCUGCUAAGAACAUUCACAUAACAAUAUUAAAAACUGGAUUUCAUCAAAAUAUUUUAUGUCAAAUUAAAAAAAAGGAAGAUAUUGAUUUAUAUGUUUCCAAUGCCAGACCAAAUAAACAUUUUCCCCCUGAAAGAAAGUUCAGUUGAUCAAACACCACAAAAACUUUCAUUUAACUUGAUGAUCAGAUCGAAGAUUUGAUGGUCUUCCCACCAUUACAAAAAAUUGUCGCCAUUUACAGGCUACAAAAAGCUGCAAUAGGAAGCAUUUCGUUAAUUCACAGUUAAUAAUAAAAACAGCAAAUAGUUAUUUAAAUUAGUAUCUCUAUCAGUUAAUCAAUAUAUAACUACUAUCUUUACGAAGUAAGUCAAUCACAUACGAUUAAAAGUCAUUUCACUUCUCUUGUCCAUGUCAUUACUUACUAAUAUUACAACAUAGCGGCAACUACGAGUGCAUAAUAUUUAUACUUACUUUAGUGAUGCAAUAGGCUUUCCCGAAAUUUAAGUUUAGUUAGCCUAUUUUUCAGCAACAGCUUUAGCUUUUUGCCCCCUGUUGAGCGCUAAUUUUUUGUUUUAGUUUGAACCAUAGAACAGAGAAGAUUGAAAUUGAGUCUUCACUCUCCAAAACGAAUGCAGCUAUCUAGCCACAGCAGAGCAAACGUUAAACACUUAGAUUUGAUAAAUUUAAUUUCUAACAUAGCAACGUUAGAAAUUUAGAUUUGAUCAAUUUAAGCUGCUUGGCAAACAAGAAAAUGAAGGAAAACAGAGGAAACUGAAACAGAGCAUCUUAGAACUUCCAUUGAUUUCGAGUGAAAAAAAACUAUAAUAAUUACAAUAAUUAAUGCUAAUCCGCACAGUCUAGAAAUAUCUU